This 301-nucleotide ribosomal RNA is filed under the name uncultured bacterium. RNAcentral describes it as "partial 16S ribosomal RNA". It matches the Rfam family "Bacterial small subunit ribosomal RNA", at positions 509 to 809 of the family's 1533-position model. The record is from RNAcentral.
CAGCCGCCGCGGUAAUACGUAGGUGGCAAGCGUUGUCCGGAAUUAUUGGGCGUAAAGCGCGCGCAGGCGGAUCAGUCAGUCUGUCUUAAAAGUUCGGGGCUUAACCCCGUGAGGGGAUGGAAACUGCUGAUCUAGAGUAUCGGAGAGGAAAGUGGAAUUCCUAGUGUAGCGGUGAAAUGCGUAGAUAUUAGGAAGAACACCAGUGGCGAAGGCGACUUUCUGGACGAAAACUGACGCUGAGGCACGAAAGCCAGGGGAGCGAACGGGAUUAGAUACCCCCGUAGUCCCUGUCUCUUAUACA